UUUGUGAACGUUUAUCAGGAUGGUCUCGACUUGAAAUUGAUAAUCUUAUCAAGCAACAAGAUGUACCUGUUUCUGAACUUACUGCAAGCCUUCAACAUUGACAAGACAAGAUCAAGGGAGAGGAGGAUGGCUCUGGCAGGCCAUUGCAUCCGCCACCCGGAGCUAGCAGCCCACAACACCAUCCUGUGGGAGCCAACUCUUGGAACUGCCAGGAGGGGGCGGACACAGGGGAGCUGAGGACUCUAAUGCUGAAUAGGGAAGAGUGGAGGGCGGCGACCAAGUCCCGAGAUGGUGUAGGUUAGGCUGCACCCUGGCAUCGCACUGCAACUGAAACCAAAAAAAAAUUGGACAAUGUUGUGAAUCAGCCAGUAUCACCAUUCCGUGGAUUGCAAAAGGUACUAAAGCUGUAGAAAUCACAGUUACCAAUGAAAUGGCUUUGGGAAUAUACAAAUAUGCAAUGAUUUUGCGCGAAGUGACUGCAUUGUGGCCACGAUUGUUCCCUGCAAGCAAGAUACCUAGUAGCAGACAUAUUUGGGAUAUGUUUGUGAAGAAGUUAAAGACAAUAGAACGGAUGAGCAGUAACCGAAAAGGUCGGCUCAGAGAAUGGUUGAAGCUUCCAUUUGUUACGGUACCAGAUCCACAGCAGGUACCAUGCUCUUCGGAUGAUAGCGCAAGUGAGGAAAGUGAAGAUGGCGAGUGGAGGAGUCCUGUUGAUAAAGAGAACCUUAGAGAAGGCAAAAAGACAAACAAAGACAAGGAAGUUCGGAAGAUGGACAACAUAAGAAAAUCCGCAUCAAAGGCUUCUGAGUACAAACUUUGUGAGAUGGUAGAAGGCAUACCUCUCCUCAUUGAUAUUGUGAAGAAGGCACUCUUAAUCAAUCAAGUGUAACCAUGGAUAACAACUAACAAGAGGCGAUUAAAGACCAAAUCAGGUUUUACAAGCCAGUAAACUUCAGCAGCAAAAUAGAUUUAGAACUUUAUAACACGUCACAAGAUAAGUAACAAUUAAAUACGCAAAACCAACCUUGCCCAGGUACUUCAGUAAUACCGAAUAUACAAACUUUCUACACUGGCUAACAAUGGACAAGGAGAGCCAAGUACUAGCUCAGACAACAAUGAAAUGCAAGACAAGGAGAAAGACUUUCAGAGCUUAAAUUAAAAUACCUUGUCAAAGGGGCAUCACCAUCCAAAAGAAAGAAAAUGAAUCCUUUUCCUGGUGACACUUUACUUGGAAAACAUAACAGCCUCAAGUUCAAAACAGCAGGAAGUAUCCAGCAUCGUUAUAGAAAGGAGUUGUGCUGAGGAGAAGCACAAAUGCUGACUUUGAGAAAUAUCUUGAAGAUGUUGAUGAGCCGUAUGUCGGAAAAAUGGACUUCUUAACAGUGCAGUUUGAUGCCCCAUUGGAGAAGGACUGGAUCGAUAACUGCCUAAAAUUUGAUUUCUAGUUGGCUUUGGAAGACUGCUUUGAAGAACCAUGGAUUGAGGAACAACUUUGACAGAUCAAGCGGAUCUCAUCUUCAGUAAUUCCGGUACAAUCAUGGGCCAUUCUUCAGGUCUGAUAAGCAGCUGGAGCAGAGACUACAAGCUUCUCAGAGGUAAAGUUCAAAGGUCAGACAGAAUAACAAACAUCAGAUUGAAAAUAGGCUGUGUAUGAAAUACGCUAAAAGCUGUUGUUAGCAUCAGUGGCGCACCCAA
This 1695-nucleotide long non-coding RNA is filed under the name Patiria miniata (bat star). Its description in RNAcentral is "uncharacterized LOC119731561". The record is from RNAcentral. Lineage: Eukaryota; Metazoa; Echinodermata; Asteroidea; Valvatida; Asterinidae.